Molecule: transfer RNA, 71 nt
Filed under: Puccinia triticina 1-1 BBBD Race 1
Lineage: Eukaryota; Fungi; Basidiomycota; Pucciniomycetes; Pucciniales; Pucciniaceae
Description: tRNA-Und (NNN) (tRNA-Und-NNN-34-1)
Rfam family: tRNA
About the family: Transfer RNA (tRNA) molecules are approximately 80 nucleotides in length. Their secondary structure includes four short double-helical elements and three loops (D, anti-codon, and T loops).
Source: Rfam by way of RNAcentral
GCGCACUUAGCUUAGUUAGUAAAAAGCAUCACUCAUGAAGUUUGAGAUGGGUUCAAAUCCCAUAGUGCACA